Long non-coding RNA from Amphibalanus amphitrite, 305 nucleotides. RefSeq lists it as uncharacterized. Lineage: Eukaryota; Metazoa; Arthropoda; Thecostraca; Balanomorpha; Balanidae. The record is from RefSeq and is a predicted model, not a curated record. The transcript is spliced from 2 exons.
AAUGGCAUUGGUAGCUUCACGCUCUGGUGACGUAAGCAGAGCGUGAAGGUUUUUUAUUUUCCCUUCACUAGUGCUUUACCUAUGGGAGAUACCGAUUUCGAAGGCAAAACUAAAAGUCGAUUUAUUAACUUAUUAGUCGAGAUACGUAUAAACCGAGUGUACCAUACGACAGCCUGAUCUUUCUUCUAUCGAUGCCCGCAUCCACUUUGGCGAUGGUACAUACAUAAAACGCUGAAAUUUGGCGAUAGGCGGGAAGGUGCAAUCCUAAACGGUAUCAUUCAAUUACAUCUUGAUGGUUGCUUUUU